Molecule: ribosomal RNA, 422 nt
Filed under: Fusobacteriota bacterium
Lineage: Bacteria; Fusobacteriati; Fusobacteriota
Description: Fusobacteria bacterium partial 16S ribosomal RNA
Rfam family: Bacterial small subunit ribosomal RNA
Source: RNAcentral
GGGGGGAUUUUGCACAAGGGGCGCAAGCCUGAUGCAGCGACGCCGCGUGAGGGAUGAAGGCCUUCGGGUUGUAAACCUCUUUCGCUGGGUUGAAAGGCCAUGCUUUGGGUGUGGUUGAUUUGAACUGGUAAAGAAGUACCGGCUAACUACGUGCCAGCAGCCGCGGUAAUACGUAGGGUACUAGCGUUGUCCGGAUUUAUUGGGCGUAAAGGGCUUGUAGGUGGUUUGUCGCGUCUGUCGUGAAAUCCUGUGGCUUAACCAUGGGCUUGCGGUGGGUACGGGCAGGCUUGAGUGCGGUAGGGGAGACUGGAAUUCCUGGUGUAGCGGUGGAAUGCGCAGAUAUCAGGAGGAACACCGGUGGCGAAGGCGGGUCUCUGGGCCGUUACUGACACUGAGGAGCGAAAGCGUGGGGAGCGAACAGG